This 33-nucleotide non-coding RNA is filed under the name Mus musculus (house mouse). RNAcentral also lists the same sequence under 1 other name. Lineage: Eukaryota; Metazoa; Chordata; Mammalia; Rodentia; Muridae. The record is from RNAcentral.
AUCGCUUCUCGGCCUUUUGGCUAAGAUCAAGUG